GAGAUUAGAACUCAGAACUCAGAAAGAUUCCUCUAGAAUUCACCUCACCCACACUGGUGCCUCACACUUAAAGCGUUUAGCAGCAGAUUUGGAAUGAAAGCAGAAGCUGUAUUUUCUCCUUUGGAUAACUUUUCCGUAUUCACUUUAUUUUUCUGAAUUGGGAUCCUUGCAAGGACUAACACCUUAGUGUAUGUACAAUGGAUUUUUCCUAUGAGGUAACCGCUGUCCUUUGCUUCACCCACCAAGCAGCUGGGGCCAAGACAAUUUUUUGAAACAGAAGAGGAAGAAAUAUGGUGGAAAAACACAGUUGAACCCAUUGACAAGAUAAGCAGAAAGUGAAGUUGCUAAGCUAUCUGGAAGGAACUGGAACUGAAUAGACUGAAAAACGUGUCAUAGACUACAACUUCAUGAAUCUGCAGUGGAAAGCCCACAGGAGAGCACGAAGCAGUACUGCAGUGGUAUACAGGGCAUUAUGCACCCUUCUUCACCCUGGAACGACAUGGGAGGUGCAAGCAGCUAUUAAUGGCUAGUAAAUCAUUGACUGAGGGAUGAAUGGACACAGAAUCCAGGCAGUAGUUUGUAAAUGGUUCUUUUCAGGCACAUACAUAGGACAGUUAACAAGUCUGUGACAAAAUCUGUCUGGGAGUGCUGAACUUCUGCAAGCUUCUGCUCUGA
This 675-nucleotide small RNA is filed under the name Rattus norvegicus (Norway rat). Its description in RNAcentral is "uncharacterized LOC102552813". The record is from RNAcentral. Lineage: Eukaryota; Metazoa; Chordata; Mammalia; Rodentia; Muridae.